Oncorhynchus tshawytscha (Chinook salmon) is the source of this 2785-nucleotide RNA transcript. It is a transcript of the gene named polymerase (DNA directed), delta 2, regulatory subunit, with no coding region annotated. The record is from RefSeq and is a predicted model, not a curated record. Lineage: Eukaryota; Metazoa; Chordata; Actinopteri; Salmoniformes; Salmonidae. The transcript is spliced from 12 exons.
UACGUAAGACGUUGUGCAACGUCGACGUACGCGCCGGGUAACAGUCAAAUUUCGCGGGAGAUAUCUAAGCUAUGCUCUUUUGAAAGAACAAACUCCUCUCCAAAAGUAAACGUGCAUUUCAACAAAAUCGCAUUUUUGUCACGAAUAAAAGGCCAAUAAAGGCAGCCAUGUUCUCUGAGGUAAGCGCCCCUCAGGAGGGUUCCUGUUCUCUUCUGUUGUGUCGUCCUGGCUCUGAGGACCAGGAGCCCUCCGUGUUUGACAGGGUCAAGCCGGCAUACUCACCCUGCUCUGAGCGUUUCAAGCUGGGGGAGCGCAGCUUCAACCGCCAGUAUGCGCACAUUUACGCCACACGACUCAUGCAGAUGAGCCCCCUGCUCACGGAGAGGGCCCAGCAGAAAUGGGGUGCAGAUGUACGGAUCAGGAAGUUGUGUGAUCUGCAGAUGGGUGAGCAGUGUUGCAUUGUGGGAACCCUGUUCAAGCACAUGGAACUGCAGCCAUCCAUUCUGAAGGAAAUCAGUGAGGAACACAAUCUGCUGCCCCAGCCUCCGCGCACGAGGUACAUCAGCGAAUCAGAUGAGUUGAUACUGGAGGACGAGCUGCAGAGGAUCAAACUAGAGGGCAAUAUUGAUGUGGACAAGUUUGUCACAGGUAGUGUUAUUGCUAUUUAUGGUGCAGAAAAGAAUGAUGGGAAAUUCACAGUGGAUGAUUUCUGUACUGCUGACCUCCCCCCGCAGGCCCCCAGAACCACUCUCAGCUCAGACAGGUUUGUGCUGCUGUUGUCAGGUUUGGGUCUGGGCGGUAGUCAUGCAGACAGUAUGCUGGCUUUACAGCUGCUUGUUGACAUGGUAACGGGUCACCUAGGUGACCAGGGGGAGCAGAGUGGUGCAUCGACAAUCUCCAGGGUUCUACUGGCCGGGAACCUUCUGAGCCAAAGCACACAGGACAAGGACGCAUCCACCAAGGCUAAGUACUUGACUAAGAAAACCCAGGCAGGCACUGUGGAUGCCAUGCGUCUGCUGGAUGAGAUGCUGAUGCAGCUGGUGUCGUCAGUUCCAGUGGAUGUGAUGCCGGGCCAGUAUGAUCCUACUAACUAUACCCUGCCCCAGCAGCCCCUACACCACUGUAUGUUCCCCCUCUCCUCCUCCUACCCCACCCUGCAGCUGGCCUCCAACCCACACCAGGCCACCCUGGAUGGGGUGAGGAUCCUGGGGACGUCAGGGCAGAAUGUGAAAGACAUCCAGAAGUACAGCAGCAUGGACAGUCACCUGGAGAUACUGGAGAAUACACUGAGGCUUAGACACCUCGCCCCUACUGCACCUGACACACUGGGGUGUUAUCCAUUCUACCUGAAGGACCCUUUCAUCCUGGAGGAAUGUCCUCAUGUCUACUUCAGUGGCAACGCCCCCUCCUACCAGGCCAAACGCAUCACCGGUGCUGAAGGUCAGGAAGUCCUCCUGGUGGCUAUUCCAGAGUUCAGCAGCACUCAGACAGCCUGCCUGGUCAACCUCCGGACUCUGGACUGUGAGCCAAUCCGCUUCUCUUCCUUCUCUGCUGGUGAUGAUGAGGAGAGUGAGAUGAACAUCAGCCACUGAAGGAGCAACACACACUCUUUGUUCUCAGCCCCUUCCCCUGGUCCUCAAAUGGAAUCAGGUUGUACACUAUCAAACAUGUUUUUAAAGUGUCUGCUGAAGUCUCUCAUUGGUUUCUCUUGAUCAGCAAAGAUAUCAGUCAUUAUAUAUAUAGUAAAUAUGGAGGAUCAAUGAUGCUGUGCAGUCAUCCCAUUAGUGUUUGAGUAGAAGGAAACAUGUUGCUAAUAAAAGGUGUGUGUGAUGGAACGGACUGUCUAAUGAAAGGUGUGUGUGAUGGAACGGACUGUCUAAUGAAAGGUGUGUGUGAUGGAACGGACUGUCUAAUGAAAGGUGUGUGUGUGAUGGAAGGGACUGUCUAAUGAAAGGUGUGUGUGAUGGAACGGACUGUCUAAUGAAAGGUGUGUGUGAUGGAAGGGACUGUCUAAUGAAAGGUGUGUGUGAUGGAAGGGACUGUCUAAUGAAAGGUGUGUGUGAUGGAAGGGACUGUCUAAUGAAAGGUGUGUGUGAUGGAACGGACUGUCUAAUGAAAGGUGUGUGUGAUGGAACGGACUGUCUAAUGAAAGGUGUGUGUGUGAUGGAAGGGACUGUCUAAUGAAAGGUGUGUGUGAUGGAAGGGACUGUCUAAUGAAAGGUGUGUGUGAUGGAACGGACUGUCUAAUGAAAGGUGUGUGUGAUGGAACGGACUGUCUAAUGAAAGGUGUGUGUGAUGGAAGGGACUGUCUAAUGAAAGGUGUGUGUGAUGGAAGGGACUGUCUAAUGAAAGGUGUGUGUGAUGGAAGGGACUGUCUAAUGAAAGGUGUGUGUGAUGGAAGGGACUGUCUAAUGAAAGGUGUGUGUGAUGGAAGGGACUGUCUAAUGAAAGGUGUGUGUGAUGGAACGGACUGUCUAAUGAAGCUCUUUGUUUGUGUGCCGGUGCCCAGACUCCUGUAUUUGUCAACACACAUUGUUUCCAUUUUAGUACGGUAGAUGACGUCAUGAAGAAGAACAAAACACAAAUGCUGUACGUAAAUGAGCCUUUAUUCAUUGGAAAAAUAACUUUCCUCAGCUACGUUAUGAGGAACAUUUCAGAAAUCUCUUGCGUUCUCUCAACCUUCAACUAACAUUUUGUGAAGUUAACAUUUUAAUGUCUUGUCGGUAUUAUGGUUUUGCUGUCAUGGGUGAAAAUAAUGUAAAUAAAUCCUCACUUUUCAAAGAAA